This 169-nucleotide ribosomal RNA is filed under the name Trimmatom sp. MParis0282. RNAcentral's name for it is "partial small subunit ribosomal RNA". Lineage: Eukaryota; Metazoa; Chordata; Actinopteri; Gobiiformes; Gobiidae. The record is from RNAcentral.
CACCGCGGUUAUACGAGAGACCCGUGUAGACAGACAUCGGCGUAAAGCGUGGUUAAUAAAACUAUAACACUAAAGUCGAACACCUUCAAAGCUGUUAUACGCACCCGAAAGCAGGAAGCCCUAGAACGAAAGUGACUUUAAACCUUAUGAGCCCACGAAAGCUAGAAAA